AUUGAACGCUGGCGGCAGGCCUAACACAUGCAAGUCGAGCGGAUGAAGGGAGCUUGCUCCUGGAUUCAGCGGCGGACGGGUGAGUAAUGCCUAGGAAUCUGCCUGGUAGUGGGGGAUAACGUCCGGAAACGGGCGCUAAUACCGCAUACGUCCUGAGGGAGAAAGUGGGGGAUCUUCGGACCUCACGCUAUCAGAUGAGCCUAGGUCGGAUUAGCUAGUUGGUGGGGUAAAGGCCUACCAAGGCGACGAUCCGUAACUGGUCUGAGAGGAUGAUCAGUCACACUGGAACUGAGACACGGUCCAGACUCCUACGGGAGGCAGCAGUGGGGAAUAUUGGACAAUGGGCGAAAGCCUGAUCCAGCAAUGCCGCGUGUGUGAAGAAGGUCUUCGGAUUGUAAAGCACUUUAAGUUGGGAGGAAGGGAAGUAAGUUAAUACCUUGCUGUUUUGACGUUACCAAAAGAAUAAGCACCGGCUAACUUCGUG
This 484-nucleotide ribosomal RNA is filed under the name uncultured bacterium. RNAcentral describes it as "partial 16S ribosomal RNA". It matches the Rfam family "Bacterial small subunit ribosomal RNA", at positions 30 to 507 of the family's 1533-position model. The record is from RNAcentral.